RNAcentral lists this unclassified non-coding RNA (572 nucleotides) under Hevea brasiliensis (rubber tree). Lineage: Eukaryota; Viridiplantae; Streptophyta; Magnoliopsida; Malpighiales; Euphorbiaceae. The record is from RNAcentral.
UGGGGUAGGAUCGGUAACCUAUUGCAUUUUUACAUAGAGCUGAGCUGUGCAACAUGAUCAGCAAGCCACAAUCUCUUACCAGGCUACUGAUAAAGCGUAUCUUGAAUAAAACUUGAAACCAAUUCUAUGACCUACUUGUAGUAAUUCUAUGAAGCUAAGCCUCCAACACAGAAACCAAACCAAUUUCCAUGAUUUCCUCAGGUAUCCCAUAUCAUCACAACAGCAAUUACCCCAACGCCCAACAACACUGCCAAGAACUUGUGGUGGGGUGUGUCGACUGAAGACUCCUUCUGGGGCCUGUAGCCCUUGGCUAGAAGAUGAUUUAUUGCUACAUAGAUAAAUAUUCCACAAGCUAGUCCCAUUGAUAUGGCAAAGAUCCAGUCUGCCACUGGACCUUGAGUUGUGGCAUCUAUAACAAUCCCAAUAGCCACACCAACUGGACUUGAAAUGGCAAAUGCAAAAGCAUAAGCAACACACGAUAAAAAGGGGCGAUCAGGGAUCAUCCGAAGAAGAGCUAUUCCCAUUGCUAUGGCUGCAAAUAUUUUGUGCAGACAGAUGGUCCAUAAAGCUUU